This 253-nucleotide ribosomal RNA is filed under the name uncultured bacterium. RNAcentral's name for it is "partial 16S ribosomal RNA". It matches the Rfam family "Bacterial small subunit ribosomal RNA", at positions 524 to 776 of the family's 1533-position model. The record is from RNAcentral.
UACGGAGGGUGCAAGCGUUAUCCGGAUUCACUGGGUUUAAAGGGUGCGUAGGCGGUUCAAUAAGUCAGUGGUGAAAUACGGCAGCUCAACUGUCGAGGUGCCAUUGAUACUGUUGGACUUGAGUACAGACGAGGUAGGCGGAAUUGACGGUGUAGCGGUGAAAUGCUUAGAUAUCGUCAAGAACACCGAUAGCGAAGGCAGCUUACUAGGCUGUAACUGACGCUGAGGCACGAAAGUGUGGGGAUCAAACAGG